This 506-nucleotide ribosomal RNA is filed under the name uncultured bacterium. Its description in RNAcentral is "partial 16S ribosomal RNA". It matches the Rfam family "Bacterial small subunit ribosomal RNA", at positions 30 to 523 of the family's 1533-position model. The record is from RNAcentral.
AUUGAACGCUGGCGGCAUGCCUUACACAUGCAAGUCGAACGGCAGCAUGAUCUAGCUUGCUAGAUUGAUGGCGAGUGGCGAACGGGUGAGUAAUACAUCGGAACGUGCCCUGUAGUGGGGGAUAACUAGUCGAAAGAUUAGCUAAUACCGCAUACGACCUGAGGGUGAAAGUGGGGGACCGCAAGGCCUCAUGCUAUAGGAGCGGCCGAUGUCUGAUUAGCUAGUUGGUGAGGUAAAGGCUCACCAAGGCGACGAUCAGUAGCUGGUCUGAGAGGACGAGCGGCCACACUGGGACUGAGAAACGGCCCAGACUCCUACGGGAGGCAGCAGUGGGGAAUUUUGGACAAUGGGCGAAAGCCUGAUCCAGCAAUGCCGCGUGUGUGAAGAAGGCCUUCGGGUUGUAAAGCACUUUUGUCCGGAAAGAAAUGCCUCUGGUUAAUACCUGGGGUCGAUGACGGUACCGGAAGAAUAAGGACCGGCUAACUACGUGCCAGCAGCCGCCGUAA